CAGGUGGUGGCUUCACUUUUAGAUCACUUAUAAUUAGUUUUUGCCGUGGUACUUCAUAGUGAAAAGCAAGAAAACAUCGACCCAUUGCAAACAAAGCUUCCAAGGAAAUGUACACACGGUAUGGGCUCUGGUGGAAUUUCAUCCCGGACAUCGUACCCGGAUCCGGAUCUCGGCUCAGAAGUGGAGGCUUAACUUGGAUUACUUUUAAUCAGUUACGGUGUGAUACUUCAAAGGGGAAAGCAAGAUCGCACAGGCGGUAAAGAACAUAACGGGACCAUUGGACCGUUAUAGCGUUACCGUUCCUCCACAACACAUCAAACACAACGUGGUAGAAAAUAUUCCGGCCCCAACAAGGGCCGCCAUUCCCUCGGUGGCUGCGUCAACAAUUUCUGGUAUAGAAAACAUCUCCCCACCAGCCGGUCAUCCAUUAACGAUUAAUACUAAACGACGAAGAACCGAAUAAAGGACAUUCGUGUUCCUUUCUACAUUCUAUAGAAUAUUCACAAACUGCGCUUCGAAGGUCCCACCUAAGAAAAACCCUUGUAUUUCUUUUCAUGUCACCUUCUGUUGAUGACGAAUGAGCUUCGAAUUAGGUAAACUCGAACAACCCUCAAGCCAUCUCCUCACAACAUUGGUCCUCGAAGAUGGUUUCGCAUGAUGUGGUUGUCAUCCCGAAGACUUUAUCAACACCUGAAAACAGACGAAUCGCUGAAAAAAUAAGCUUGUAUUGUAUUUAAUAUAAGCUAUGAUUUAAAAUAUAA
Molecule: long non-coding RNA, 761 nt
Organism: Uranotaenia lowii
Lineage: Eukaryota; Metazoa; Arthropoda; Insecta; Diptera; Culicidae
Exons: 5
Source: RefSeq, a predicted model, not a curated record